UACGUAGGGGGCUAGCGUUGUCCGGAUUUAUUGGGCGUAAAGAGCGUGUAGGCGGCCAGGUAGGUCUGCUGUGAAAACUCGAGGCUCAACCUCGAGACGUCGGCGGAAACCAUCUGGCUAGAGUCCGGAAGAGGAGAGUGGAAUUCCUGGUGUAGCGGUGAAAUGCGCAGAUAUCAGGAAGAACACCCGUGGCGAAGGCGGCUCUCUGGGAUGGUACUGACGCUGAGACGCGAAAGCGUGGGGAGCGAACAGG
This 253-nucleotide ribosomal RNA is filed under the name uncultured bacterium. RNAcentral describes it as "partial 16S ribosomal RNA". It matches the Rfam family "Bacterial small subunit ribosomal RNA", at positions 524 to 776 of the family's 1533-position model. The record is from RNAcentral.